This 340-nucleotide unclassified non-coding RNA is filed under the name Hevea brasiliensis (rubber tree). Lineage: Eukaryota; Viridiplantae; Streptophyta; Magnoliopsida; Malpighiales; Euphorbiaceae. The record is from RNAcentral.
UGCAGGAAUUCAAGCAUCUUUGGCAUAUUUAGUUAUUCAAGAUUCUAUUAUUCGUUUACUUGAGGUCUUAGGCAAGCUUUGGAUUGUAAGAAUGGAUAAGGUCAUUAUGAUGUUUUUCAAAUGGUGUUAGUGAUAGGAGUAUCCUAGGCAUCGAAUGUGUCUGGGAAGUGAGAUCAUUCCAAAUGAUGGGAAAUUGGAAAAUAAAUUGUCCCAAAAUGUGCACAAUUUGACUUUGAGACAAGCAAAGGCCUUAAGUUAUAUGUCAACCAUCCUUGUGCUACUGGUUGAAGUUUUGUUGUCUGCUCUUUUAGUCUUCCUUUCCUUAACCCGUUCAUGGUGG